RNAcentral lists this ribosomal RNA (222 nucleotides) under uncultured bacterium. Its description in RNAcentral is "partial 16S ribosomal RNA". It matches the Rfam family "Bacterial small subunit ribosomal RNA", at positions 524 to 745 of the family's 1533-position model. The record is from RNAcentral.
UACGAAGGGGGCUAGCGUUGUUCGGAAUUACUGGGCGUAAAGCGCACGUAGGCGGAUAUUUAAGUCAGGGGUGAAAUCCCAGAGCUCAACUCUGGAACUGCCUUUGAUACUGGGUAUCUUGAGUAUGGAAGAGGUAAGUGGAAUUGCGAGUGUAGAGGUGAAAUUCGUAGAUAUUCGCAGGAACACCAGUGGCGAAGGCGGCUUACUGGUCCAUAACUGACG